GCCAGGCACAGUGGCACGUGCCUGUAGUCCCAGCUACUCCAGAGGCUGAGGUGGGAGGACUGCUUGAGCCCAGGAGUUCUGAGCUGUAGUGCGCCAUGCCAAUUGGGUGACCGCACUAAGUUCAGCAUCAAUAUGGUGAUGUCCCAGGGGAGGGGCACCACCAGGUUGCCUAAGGAGGGGUGAAUCGGUCAGAAAUGGAGCAGGUCAAAACUCCCUUGCUGAUCAGUAGUGGGAUCAUGCCUGUGAAUUGCCACUGUACUCCAGCCUGGGCAACAUAGUGAGAUCCUCUCUCU
Molecule: signal recognition particle RNA, 293 nt
Filed under: Aotus nancymaae (Ma's night monkey)
Lineage: Eukaryota; Metazoa; Chordata; Mammalia; Primates; Aotidae
Description: Metazoan signal recognition particle RNA (ENSANAG00000006371.1)
Rfam family: Metazoan signal recognition particle RNA
About the family: The signal recognition particle (SRP) is a universally conserved ribonucleoprotein. It is involved in the co-translational targeting of proteins to membranes.
Source: RNAcentral